AGUGAACGCUGGCGGUAGGCCUAACACAUGCAAGUCGAACGGCAGCACAGUAAGAGCUUGCUCUUACGGGUGGCGAGUGGCGGACGGGUGAGGAAUACAUCGGAAUCUACUUUUUCGUGGGGGAUAACGUAGGGAAACUUACGCUAAUACCGCAUACGACCUACGGGUGAAAGCAGGGGAUCUUCGGACCUUGCGCGAUUGAAUGAGCCGAUGUCGGAUUAGCUAGUUGGCGGGGUAAAGGCCCACCAAGGCGACGAUCCGUAGCUGGUCUGAGAGGAUGAGCAGCAGCACUGGAAGGGAGACACGGUCCAGACUCCGACGGGAGGCAGCAGGGGGGAAUAUGGGACAAGGGGCGAAAGCCGGACCCAGCAAUACGGGGGGGGGGAAGAGGGCCUUGGGGUUGUAAAGCCUUUUUGUGGGGAAAAAAAAGCAGCAGGUUAAUACCCCGCUGUUCUGACGGUACCAAAAGAAUAAGCACCGGCUAACUUCGUG
This 492-nucleotide ribosomal RNA is filed under the name uncultured bacterium. RNAcentral describes it as "partial 16S ribosomal RNA". It matches the Rfam family "Bacterial small subunit ribosomal RNA", at positions 30 to 507 of the family's 1533-position model. The record is from RNAcentral.